GUGUCAGCCGCCGCGGUAAGACGAACCGUGCGAACGUUGUUCGGAAUCACUGGGCAUAAAGGGCGCGUAGGCGGGCUACCAAGUCUGUGGUGAAAUCCCCCGGCUCAACCGGGGAACUGCCGUGGAUACUGGGAGCCUCGAGGGAGAUAGGGGCGUGCGGAACUGAUGGUGGAGCGGUGAAAUGCGUUGAUAUCAUCAGGAACUCCGGUGGCGAAGGCGGCACGCUGGAUCUCAUCUGACGCUGAGGCGCGAAAGCCAGGGGAGCAAACGGGAUUAGAAACCCUCGUAGUCC
This 292-nucleotide ribosomal RNA is filed under the name uncultured bacterium. Its description in RNAcentral is "partial 16S ribosomal RNA". It matches the Rfam family "Bacterial small subunit ribosomal RNA", at positions 505 to 796 of the family's 1533-position model. The record is from RNAcentral.